Long non-coding RNA from Saccostrea cuccullata (small rock oyster), 146 nucleotides. RefSeq lists it as uncharacterized. The transcript is spliced from 3 exons. NCBI's taxonomy places the organism in Eukaryota, Metazoa, Mollusca, Bivalvia, Ostreida, Ostreidae. The record is from RefSeq and is a predicted model, not a curated record.
AAACCAAAUGAAAGGGCAAGCAACUCUAUAGCAUAAAGACAGUUUUAAAGCAAGUCAUAUGGUGGGAUUCUUGCCUUACAUUUGACAUGGUGGGAUUAAUUUUGUAUGAAUUCAUUGUCAACAUGAGAAGGUAUAUUCACAUCAGA